AUUGAACGCUGGCGGCAUGCUUUACACAUGCAAGUCGAACGGCAGCACAGGGAGCUUGCUCCCGGGUGGCGAGUGGCGCACGGGUGAGUAAUACAUCGGAACGUGUCCUGUUGUGGGGGAUAACUGCUCGAAAGGGUGGCUAAUACCGCAUGAGACCUGAGGGUGAAAGCGGGGAUCGCAAGACCUUGUGCUACUAGAGCGGCCGAUGGCAGAUUAGGUAGUUGGUGGGAUAAAAGCUUACCAAGCCAACGAUCUGUAGCUGGUCUGAGAGGACGAUCAGCCACACUGGGACUGAGACACGGCCCAG
Molecule: ribosomal RNA, 307 nt
Filed under: uncultured bacterium
Lineage: Bacteria
Description: bacterial SSU rRNA
Rfam family: Bacterial small subunit ribosomal RNA
Source: RNAcentral